UAAUGAGCGUUAAUGAUCAUCUCAUUUAAUGAAUGUCAAACUCUGCCCGCAUGUCUCGGCAGUGAACAGUGUGUGUGAGGAUCGUGCUGUUGAUUCAGCAGCUCUUCCACUGCGCUGAGGUGCGCGCGCUCGCGUGCGUGCGUGCGUGUGUGUGUGAGAGCAUGAUCGAGUGCAUGUGGACGCGUGAGGCAGGAGGAAGGAUGCCUGCUCGUGUGUGAGGCUGGCAGAGACACAGCCGUAUUUACACCGGAGAAACGCCAGACACGUCGCUCUGCGCCGCCAGCAUGCCCGCGGAGGUGAAGGAGAAGCCGGACCCAGAGGAACCGCCGGCCGAACCUUCAAAUCAAGACACCAAAGAGAAGACAGAGGAGGUUCUUCCAGCUGAGGAGACAGCAGACGCUCCGUCCUCAGACGUGUCUACGGUCGCCUCACAUCACACAGAAACUCAUACUGAGAGUUCAGGCAUUGGGACGGAGAAGUCUUCCAGCCCUGAUAGUGAAACGAACCCGCUCAGCUCCAGCAGCUCCAAUGAACAGGUCGUGCCGAAUGUCCUGAAGGAAAGUCCUAGAGAAUCCUCUGAAGGGUUGGAUGAGUUGCAGACGACGUCUCCAGAUGCUCAACCGCAUCCUGAAGCCUCUCUCGAGAAGGAAGAUGCGCGUGCGGUCCUACCCCCCCACCCUGAGACCAGCAUGACCUCUGACCUUGCAAAUGAGAAUCCCAAAGACCAGUCGUCUCUGUACGGCACUCUUAACAGUCACGGCGUGACACUCCUGCAUGGAUUCCAGUACCAUCCGUCAUUUCCCACCCUGCCCGCCAGGAACUACUUACCGGAGAACUGCUACACACUACCGCUGCACCGCUGCGCUUCAAAAGCGGAGCAGGACGGCAUAGAUCUGCGCUCCGGCGUACCAAGCCAUCCAAUCCAUCAUAUGAGGCCGACUUUGGACCUUACUGUGGACGAGCACCUCGGGCCGCUGCCGCAUGCAUAUUUCCAGGAUCUGUACAGGACGGUCAUACCACAGAAACGCGCCAGCAUGGUGAGCCUCGACACCAUCCGGAAGGACCCGCGCUGGAGGGACCCGAACCUGAGGGAGGUCAUCGCCAUGUUGAGCCACCCGAUGGACCCGGUGAAGUCCAACGCCGCGGCGUAUCUGCAGCACCUCUGCUACGAGAACGACAAGGUCAAGCAGGACGUCCGGCAGCUCAGAGGGAUCCCUGUCCUGGUGGGGCUCCUGGACCAUCCCAAACCUGAGGUCCAUCGCAAGGCCUGCGGAGCGCUGAGAAACAUCUCCUUCGGCAGAGACAAUUUCAACAAGGUGGCCAUUAAGAAUUCAGAAGGAAUUCCUGCGCUGCUGAGACUGCUGAGGAAAUCCAACGACGGGGAAGUCAGAGAGCUGGUCACAGGAACUCUCUGGAAUCUCUCGUCCCAUGAGCCUCUGAAGAUGAUCGUCAUCAACCACGGCCUGCAGACGCUGACUGACGAGAUCAUCAUCCCUCACUCGGGCUUGAGAGGAGACCCAAACGAUCCGGCCCGGCCCGGAGAUCCCGAGUGGAACACGGUCUUCAAGAACACUUCUGGAUGUCUGAGGAACGUGAGUUCAGACGGAGCCGAAGCUCGACAGAGACUGCGCGAGUGUGAGGGACUGGUGGACGCGCUGCUGCACGCGCUUUAUUCUGCUGUCGCCAAGAGAGACAUAAAUAACAAAGCUUCCUCUCAAGCUCACUGCUGUGUUUCUCACCUGCUUUUGCAGUCGGUAGAGAACUGUGUCUGUAUCUUGCGUAAUCUGUCCUACCACGUGCACAAGGAGGUUCCCGGAGCCGAGAAGUUCCACAUCCAAGCGGCCAAUCACAGCGCAAGAUCGGGAGGUCACCAUAAGAAGAAGGAGGAGCCGGACUGCUUUGGAGGACGGACGAGCAAAGAAGAAUGGUUCCAUCAGUGUAAAAGACACGGAGCCGGAGAGAAGAAGAGCGGCGGUGUGGAUCUGCCAAAGAGGAGUCUGCCGAUGAAAGGCCUGGAGCUUCUGUACCAGCCGGAGGUGGUUCGACUCUACCUGUCGCUCCUUAAACUGAGCCAGAACCACAACACUCUUGAGGCGGCAGCCGGAGCCCUUCAGAACCUGUCUGCCGGACACUGGGCCUGGUCCAGUUAUAUCCGCGCGACGGUCCGUAAGGAGAAGGGUCUGCCGGUGCUUGUGGAGCUGCUGCACUCAGAUGCGGAUAAAGUGGUGCGAGCCAUCGCCAUCGCGCUCAGAAACCUCGCCAUCGACCACAAGAACAAAGAUCUCAUCGGGAGCUACGCCAUGAGGGAUCUGGUCAGUAACCUGCCCUGCGGCCAGCAGCGACCCGCCAAAAACCUGGAGGGAGACACGGUGGUGGCCGUUCUGAACACUAUCCUGGAGAUCGUCUCGGAGAACCUGGAGAAUGCCAGAUUCCUCAUUCAGGGACAGGGAAUCCAGAAACUGGUGUCAAUCAACAGAACAAGCCAAUCAGUGCGCGAAACCAAAGCAGCGUCACACAUCCUGCAGACGGUCUGGGCCUAUAAAGAUCUCCGGCACACCCUGCUCAAGGCCGGCUGGAACAAAACCCACUUCAAGCCAGCCGUCUCCAGCCUGCCCAAAAAACAGAAGAACGCCAAGCAAGGGAGCGAUGACAUCACACUGCCCUUAAUGGAGAAAAACCAAGAUGGAUACUGCACCGCUGAUCAGGCCGAGAGAGCAGGAGACGCUCCGUGUCACAUGAUCGAACGAGAAGCUUUUCAGGGUGUGGCUGAUAAGAGGCCGUUCAUCAGGACCAGCAGGCCAGCGGUUGGGUUAGUGGAGCGAACGCCGCAGCCGCUGGACUCAUGGGUCUGAUCCGGCCCACGGUAAACCAUCGCUUCAGCUUCUUCUCAUGCGUCAGUGAAGCCGUAAAGGGUUGGAGAUCCACUUUCAGACCUGCAUUUAGACUGACGUUCAGCACAAUUCAUCACAGAAUCAAACGAGAAAUACGACAUAUCAUACCUGUUCAUGCCCUGCUGAAGAUCGCUGGACGAAUCGUGACCGAUCCGUCUGAACGUGGAAUUUGACUCUUUGCUGCUUUGGCAAUCUUCACUGUUAAACUCAAGAAUCAUGAUGUGACGAGUCACUUAUAGAUCUGAUUAUACACCAUAUUAUGAUCUUGUGUUGUUUCUAUUGCUUUUUAUGUUGUUGAUGAGUCUCUCAAUUGUAUAAUAGUGUUCCAGAUAUUUCUGAUCAUCCACACAGACGAUUUCAGCUCUGUAUCUAAAGUUUUAUGCACAAAAGAAAUAACAUGAUAUGAUUAUAUUAAUAGGUUAUUAUGGGUACUGAUAGUCUACAUGCAAAAUUGUACUUAUUAUAGUCUAAAUCAGAGAAUAUAUCAGAGAUUUUAAUGCAUUCACACUAAAUUGGUUUCAUAACAUCAGUGAUUUAAUGGCUUGAAAAAUAAAAUCAAUGAGUUCUUAA
Megalobrama amblycephala (Wuchang bream) is the source of this 3461-nucleotide RNA transcript. It is a transcript of the gene named ARVCF delta catenin family member a, with no coding region annotated. The record is from RefSeq and is a predicted model, not a curated record. The transcript has 17 exons. NCBI's taxonomy places the organism in Eukaryota, Metazoa, Chordata, Actinopteri, Cypriniformes, Xenocyprididae.